GGAUGGCUGAGGUUUAAGCGGUGGAUUGUAGUCCCAUGUACAGAGGUUUGAGUCCUCUUCUUACCAAGCU
Molecule: transfer RNA, 70 nt
Filed under: Pomoxis nigromaculatus (black crappie)
Lineage: Eukaryota; Metazoa; Chordata; Actinopteri; Centrarchiformes; Centrarchidae
Description: tRNA-Tyr
Rfam family: tRNA
About the family: Transfer RNA (tRNA) molecules are approximately 80 nucleotides in length. Their secondary structure includes four short double-helical elements and three loops (D, anti-codon, and T loops).
Source: RNAcentral